This 233-nucleotide ribosomal RNA is filed under the name uncultured Glomus. Its description in RNAcentral is "partial 18S ribosomal RNA". The stretch from base 46 to 233 matches the Rfam family "Eukaryotic small subunit ribosomal RNA", at positions 695 to 884 of the family's 1831-position model. Lineage: Eukaryota; Fungi; Glomeromycota; Glomeromycetes; Glomerales; Glomeraceae. The record is from RNAcentral.
GGAUCAAUAUGUUGGUCGUGCCUUGGUACGUACUAUCUUAUUGGUUUCUCCUUCUGACGAACCAUGAUGUCAUUAAUUUGAUGUCUUGGGGAAUCAGGACUGUUACUUUGAAAAAAUUAGAGUGUUUAAAGCAGGCUCACGCUUGAAUAUAUUAGCAUGGAAUAAUGAAAUAGGACGUUUGAUUCUAUUUUGUUGGUUUCUAGGAUCGAUGUAAUGAUUAAUAGGGAUAGUUG